This 74-nucleotide transfer RNA is filed under the name Candidatus Enterocola intestinipullorum. Its description in RNAcentral is "tRNA-Arg". It matches the Rfam family "tRNA". From Rfam's summary of the family: Transfer RNA (tRNA) molecules are approximately 80 nucleotides in length. Lineage: Bacteria; Pseudomonadati; Bacteroidota; Bacteroidia; Bacteroidales. The record is from RNAcentral.
GGCUCCGUAGCUCAGUUGGAUAGAGCAACAGCCUUCUAAGCUGUGGGUCAUGCGUUCGAGUCGCAUCGGAGUCA